Choloepus didactylus (southern two-toed sloth) is the source of this 863-nucleotide long non-coding RNA. RefSeq lists it as uncharacterized. The transcript is spliced from 3 exons. The record is from RefSeq and is a predicted model, not a curated record. Lineage: Eukaryota; Metazoa; Chordata; Mammalia; Pilosa; Megalonychidae.
GGCUCUUUGUAACAGAGCCCGGGAGCGCGCGACGGGGACGUGGACGCACAGGAGUGGACGCGCACGCCCGAGCAUGCGCAGGCCCUUCCUCCCCUCUCGCCGCUACCCCGAAACACCCCUUGUUCCACAACGCGCAGCCCGGGUCUCCCGAGGCCGCGCGCCCGAGCUGGCUCUCCGGUGGCCUCGGCCCUCACAACUCCCCGGGCGGCGGGAGGCAGUCCACUGGCCGGUAGGAGAACGGAGAGGAUUUACGCACCGCUGAUUAAUCCUCGCCGCCCGUGGCCCUGGCCCCUCUGCCCCCUUCCCGCGGAUGGUGGAUCCCAAGGGGAGGUGUGUGUGUGUAUUGGUGACCAGGUGAUGCGCGCGUCUCCCGAGCCCCCCUCCCCUCUCCGCAGACAAAGCCGGGUCCGCCCUCCGCGCUCACCCGCCGCAGCAUUUGUCAUUCAGAAUCCUCAAAACAAAACCCCACGUUGGGUUUAGAGACGCGAUUUGCCUUUCCGAGUUCUCUGGCAUUCCUAUCUUCUAGGAUUCCCUAAACAGCGAGGCAGUUGUAGCAGAGGAAGCCAGACGCCCCUGAGGAGACUGCAGACCGGGAAGCCCUAGUUCCACCUCCGCUUUCCCGAGACGCUGCGGUUUCAACACUCACUCGUAUCUGGCAGAGCGGUUCUGGAGGUAGAAGUCCACAGAGCUUCACCCCUCCCUCCCUCAACCCCACUGGCCAGUAGAGCAGAAGGGAGGCUCCGGGAGGUCCCAGGCAGGACUUUGAGUAGAGGUGCAGUUCUCAAUUUGGAUGUGUCCUUUUCCUGAGAAAAUAUCCCCCUGCUGUGCUCAGAUUCGGGUGAUGAAUGCACAACUAUAUGAUG